CACCAGGUUGAUUCUGCCUGACGUAUGCGCUUGUCUUGAAGAUUUAGCCAUGCAAGCCGGCGAAGCUCUAUGUGAAGCGGCAGACAGCUCAGUAAUACAGUUAUAAUUUACUCGUAGUGUGUAUACGGAUAACCUUGGUAACCUAAGGCUAAUACGUGGACAGGUUAUUGAAUUGGUGAAACAAUAAUAACUGAAAGGAAUUUCUACUGCGAUUAAGUUUCUGGCCUAUUAGCUAGUUGGUAGGGUAAUGGCCUACCAAGGCGAUGAUGGGUAACGGGGAAUCAGUGUUCGAUUCCGGAGAGGGAGCCUGAGAAAUAGCUCCCACGUCCAAGGAUGGCAGCAGGCGCGAAAAUUACCCAAUUCCUUAACGGGAGAGGUGGUGAAGAGACAUGAAGUUCUACUUAGAGACUGCACAGUAAAAAAGUGUGGGAUCGACUGGAGGGCAAGUCUGGUGCCAGCAGCCGCGGUAAUUCCAGCUCCAGUAGCGCAUAUAAUAGUUGCUGCAGUUAAAACGUCCGUAGUUGAUCACAAAGCAUAUUUUAGCAGUAUUGUUGAAUAAGCUUCGGUACUGUGAGAAAAAUAUGGUUCUCAAAGCAGGUUACGUGAGUAAUUUAGCAUGGGACACAGUGAAUAUAGGAACAGAUGAUGGCAAUAGUAUUCAACAGUAAGAGGUGAAAAUCGUUGACCUGUUGAGGACUGUCGGAAGCGAAGGCGAUUGUCAAGUAUGUCUCCGUUAAUAAAGGACUUAAGCUAGAUUAUCGAAGAUGAUUAGAUACCGUCGUAGUUCUAGCUGUAAACGAUGCCGACUAGGUGAGGCCGAGAGGCUGCGCCUUAGGAGAAAUCAAAGUCUACGGGCUCUGGGGAUAGUAUUGCCGCAAGGUUGAAACUUAAAGAAAUUGACGGAAGGACACCACAAGGAGUGGAUUGUGCGGCUUAAUUUGACUCAACGCGGGACAACUUACCAGGACCGAACUUGUUUGAGAUUGGCGGUCUGAGAGGACCCCCGAGAUUACAAGGAAGGUAGUGCAUGGCCGUUUUCAACACGUGGGGUGACUUGUCUGGUUAAUUCCGACAACGCGUGAGGCCCCGUGAACAACUCGUUGUUCGACGGACAGCGGCAAGCUGUAGGAAGUGGGGCGAUAACAGGUCAGUGAUGCUCCUAGAUGCUCUGGGCUGCACGCGCAAUACAAUGGUAUGGCGAGACUAUGCACUGAAAAGUGUUGUUUAAACCAUACCGAAGCUAGGAUAAGCUCUUGUAAAUGAGCUUUGAACGAGGAAUUCCUAGUAAUCGCAAGUCAUUAUGUUGCGAUGAAUGCGUCCCUGUUCUUUGCACACACCGCCCGUCGCUAUCUAAGAUGGAUGUAUUGGUGAAAUGGCUGGACGUUAAGAAAGGCAGUUGAACCUGUGCAACUAAAUAAGAUAUAAGUCGUAACAAGGUAACC
This 1442-nucleotide ribosomal RNA is filed under the name Microsporidia sp. RNAcentral describes it as "SSU rRNA". It matches the Rfam family "Eukaryotic small subunit ribosomal RNA". Lineage: Eukaryota; Fungi; Microsporidia. The record is from RNAcentral.